AGCAGCCGCGGUAAUUCCAGCUCCAAUAGCGUAUAUUAAAGUUGUUGCAGUUAAAAAGCUCGUAGUUGAAUUUCGGGAUUAAUUUAUUGGUCGUGCUAUUGUACGUACUGGUAUUAUUGAUUCCUACCUUCUGACGAACCACGAUGUCAUUAAUUUGGUGUCAUGGGGAAUCAGGACUGUUACUUUGAAAAAUUAGAGUGUUUAAAGCAGGCUCACGCUUGAAUACAUUAGCAUGGAAUAACGAAAUAGGACGUUUGAUUCUAUUUUGUUGGUUUCUAGGAUCGACGUAAUGAUUAAUAGGGAUAGUUGGGGGCAUUAGUAUUCAAUUGUCAGAGGUGAAAUUCUUGGAUUUAUUGAAGACUAACUACUGCGAAAGCAUUUGCCAAGGAUGUUUUCAUUAAUCAAGAACGAAAGUUAGGGGAUCGAAGACGAUCAGAUACCGUCGUAGUCUUAACCAUAAACUAUGCCGACUAGGGAUCGGAUGAUGUUAAUUU
This 494-nucleotide ribosomal RNA is filed under the name uncultured Glomus. RNAcentral's name for it is "SSU rRNA". It matches the Rfam family "Eukaryotic small subunit ribosomal RNA", at positions 569 to 1069 of the family's 1831-position model. The record is from RNAcentral. Lineage: Eukaryota; Fungi; Glomeromycota; Glomeromycetes; Glomerales; Glomeraceae.